CGAGUGAAGCGGCAACAGCUCAAAUUUGAAAUCUGGCCCCUAGGGUCCGAGUUGUAAUUUGUAGAGGAUGCUUUUGGUGAGGUGCCGCCCGAGUUCCCUGGAACGGGACGCCACAGAGGGUGAGAGCCCCGUCUGGCUGGCCACCGAGCCUCUGUAAAGCUCCUUCGACGAGUCGAGUAGUUUGGGAAUGCUGCUCAAAAUGGGAGGUAUAUGUCUUCUAAAGCUAAAUAUUGGCCAGAGACCGAUAGCGCACAAGUAGAGUGAUCGAAAGAUGAAAAGCACCUUGAAAAGAGGGUUAAACAGUACGUGAAAUUGUUGAAAGGGAAGCGCUUGUGACCAGACUUGGGCGCGGCGGAUCAUCCGGGGUUCUCUCCGGUGCACUUCGCCGUGUUCAGGCCAGCAUCAGUUCGGCGCGGGGGAAAAAGGCUUCGGGAACGUGGCUCCUCCGGGAGUGUUAUAGCCCGUUGCAUAAUACCCUGCGCUGGACUGAGGACCGCGCAUCU
Molecule: ribosomal RNA, 503 nt
Filed under: Trichoderma atroviride
Lineage: Eukaryota; Fungi; Ascomycota; Sordariomycetes; Hypocreales; Hypocreaceae
Description: partial large subunit ribosomal RNA
Rfam family: Eukaryotic large subunit ribosomal RNA
Source: RNAcentral